CUUUGUAGUUCUCCUGUGAAUGCUAACUCAAGGUCAAGAGAUUCCCCAAACCCUGUAACGUAAGAUUCCAACUCAUCCUGGGUUUUUACUGAGGCUCUGAGUAAGAUGCCAGGCCCACAGGCACGAGCUAACUCCCUGCUCUUAGUGCCAGGUACUCAGUCCCACCAGGAGGCAAACUUCACACCACCCGACCCUCCGGCUGCCUCCUCGGAUGCCCAGACACGGCCUCGCCGAGCACUUUACAACCAGACCGUCUUUUGGAAGUCUUCCCGUCUCGCCCCCCUGAUUUUACAAGGAAGGAAACAGCGAUCAGUCUGCUUGAUUUUGAGUGGCUCAAGAUGGCCUCAGUUGUGUCAACAGUGUAGAGGAGAAUGAUCCAUUUUUCACUGACCAUAAGAGGAGGAUAUUUAUGCUUCAAAACUGAAUAUGGUGGUUUCGAUGGAAGGACUGGAUGUUCUGAAGGCAAGGAUCAUAUCUAUUUGGUCACUGUUUCUUCCAUGCCUGGCUAAAAGAAGAUGCCCAGUAAAUAUUUAUUAAAUUGAUCAAGUAAAGAAUGAGUGAAUGAUUUAGUGAGUGCAUCAACAGAUCAAGAUUGUACCUUCUGUUUUGGGCAUUAUUAGUGAAGGACAGGCUUUGAGGAAGACACAGAAGUCCAAAGCCCAUGCCAGCAUUCCCCUGCAGGAAUAGACUACACACGUCCUCUAAGGAGUUGGGGCAUUCUCCCCAUCUUUCUUAUCAACAGAGCUCAGGUUUUCUUCUGGGUAACAAUGCUCCCAGUUAAGAUGCACAGUCACCUGGCCUCCCCUGCUGUGAAGAUGGCCACAGGACACAGUUCUGGCUACUGGUCUCUAUGUGGAGAGUUUUGCAGAGCUUCUGGAAAGACUUAACAGAGCCAGACUCAUCUGGAAUGUUUCUCUUUGCCCUUUCCCUUGGUUCCUACUUGGGUUGCAGGCAUUAUUAUUAUUAGAGCUAUGGGAGCCACCUUGCCACUAUGAGGGUGAAUUUGAUAGUUGAAGAUGGUGGAGAAGAAAGAUAAAAUUCUAGAUCCUUCAUGGCAUCGUUGAAUAGCUGCCCAGCUUUGCCUUAAUCUUGGCUUCUUAUUCUGUGAGAAUGAUAAGUCACGUUAUGUAACUGUAGUUGAGUAUUUUGUUACCUGUAGCCUAAUGCAAUAAUUAGGAAUUGGAUUCAGGAAUCAAAAGCAAAAGAUCUUAUGUUGUUCUUAACUGCUUUCUCAAUAAAAUCAAAGAAUAUUUGUUGAUCAACAAUGGAACAGUUAUGCCUGAAUCCUGCU
Molecule: non-coding RNA, 1291 nt
Organism: Kogia breviceps (pygmy sperm whale)
Lineage: Eukaryota; Metazoa; Chordata; Mammalia; Artiodactyla; Physeteridae
Source: RefSeq, a predicted model, not a curated record